RNAcentral lists this ribosomal RNA (904 nucleotides) under Aschersonia paraphysata. RNAcentral describes it as "eukaryotic LSU rRNA". It matches the Rfam family "Eukaryotic large subunit ribosomal RNA", at positions 41 to 958 of the family's 3401-position model. Lineage: Eukaryota; Fungi; Ascomycota; Sordariomycetes; Hypocreales; Clavicipitaceae. The record is from RNAcentral.
UAUCAAUAAGCGGAGGAAAAGAAACCAACAGGGAUUGCCCCAGUAACGGCGAGUGAAGCGGCAACAGCUCAAAUUUGAAAUCUGGCCCCCCCCCCGGGGGGGCCCGAGUUGUAAUUUGCAGAGGAUGCUUCUGGCGAGGUGCCUUCCGAGUUCCCUGGAACGGGACGCCGCAGAGGGUGAGAGCCCCGUCUGGUCGGACAACCGAGCCUCUGUGAAGCUCCUUCGACGAGUCGAGUAGUUUGGGAAUGCUGCUCUAAAUGGGAGGUAUAUGUCUUCUAAAGCUAAAUACCGGCCAGAGACCGAUAGCGCACAAGUAGAGUGAUCGAAAGAUGAAAAGCACUUUGAAAAGAGGGUUAAACAGUACGUGAAAUUGUUGAAAGGGAAGCGCUCAUGACCAGACCUGGUCCCGGCGAAUCACCCGGCGUUCUCGCCGGUGCACUUCGACGGGCUUCCAGGCCAGCAUCAGUCCGCGCCGGGGGACAAAGGCGGCGGGAACGUGGCUCCCCAGGGAGUGUUAUAGCCCGCCGCGCAAUGCCCCGGGGGCGGACUGAGGCCCGCGCUCACGCAAGGAUGCUGGCGUAAUGGUCAUCAGCGACCCGUCUUGAAACACGGACCAAGGAGUCGUCCUCGUAUGCGAGUGUUGGGGCGUCAAACCCCCCGCGCGAAUGAAAGUGAACGGCAGGUGAGAGCCCUCGCGGGCGCAUCAUCGACCGAUCCUGAUGUUCUCGGAUGGAUUUGAGUAGGAGCAUACGGGGCCGGACCCGAAAGAAGGUGAACUAUGCCUGUGUAGGGUGAAGCCAGAGGAAACUCUGGUGGAGGCUCGCAGCGGUUCUGACGUGCAAAUCGAUCGUCAAACAUGGGCAUGGGGGCGAAAGACUAAUCGAACCUUCUAGUAGCUGGUUUC